RNAcentral lists this unclassified non-coding RNA (214 nucleotides) under Hevea brasiliensis (rubber tree). The record is from RNAcentral. Lineage: Eukaryota; Viridiplantae; Streptophyta; Magnoliopsida; Malpighiales; Euphorbiaceae.
GUUCAAUUUGCAGGUCAUUCAAUAUUUCUGGGGUACUUCAGUAUAUUUUCCUGACCAAAGAAAAAGGGAAACCUAAUCUUUGGUUAACAUUUUCUAUAUCGGAUGCUUGUUUUUUAAGGUAUUCCUAUUUUCCUUGACCCUUGUAAUGCAGAUAUCAAUUCCAGAUUUGUUUCCAAAGGACCAUACAUAAAUUACUUGAUUACAUAGCUAUGAG